Eriocheir sinensis (Chinese mitten crab) is the source of this 1253-nucleotide long non-coding RNA. RefSeq lists it as uncharacterized. The record is from RefSeq and is a predicted model, not a curated record. NCBI's taxonomy places the organism in Eukaryota, Metazoa, Arthropoda, Malacostraca, Decapoda, Varunidae. The transcript is spliced from 3 exons.
UGGAGCGGCUGGCUGGGGCAGAGGGGGCGGGGAGACGAAGAGGACGAGGAGGAAGAGGAGGAGGCCGAGAAGGAAGGUAACUCAAGAAAAUGAAGAAAUGAACAGCAAAGAUGAGCUGCGACGAAGAAAAAUGAAACUGGAACAUCGGAACGGACGAGAAGGGAAGGAAGAGAGAGACCUAAGCUGGAGGGAAGGGAGGGGCGGAGGGAAGGACUGCAAGGAGGAAGACGGAGAGGAGGAGGAGGCGGCGGCGGCUGCAGAGGAGGAGGGAGAGGAGGGGUGGUGGAGGGCUGGGCGGAGAGCGCAUGAUCAAGCCCGACUCAUCAGUGCUCAUUAGUGGGCCGGAGCAGAGAGCCUUAAUUCACGAGUGAAAACAGUGGUUUAUGCAGACCAGCGGCGGGAGGAGGGAGGCGCCGCUCGCUCCUCCCGGCCCUCCCGCCUCCCCGUCAGCCCCGUUUUUCACGCCCUUUCCCGCCCCUCUUACGCCCCUCCAUCCGGAUAUUGAUUCCUCCUGACGACGCCGCUGGGGACCUCCACCGCCUCGCCGGACACCACCACCACCACUACCACCACCUUCACCAUCAUCACCACCAGGCUGAGGAUCGGCAUCAACACCACCCGAUGUUACAAGUUACUCGCCAUCACCACCUUCAUCGUUGUUGUCCUCCUCGUCUCCCUUCGUCUACAGUGCCGAUAAAGAACACCCUGGACAAGCACGCGCCCAAUCAACGCCCUUCCUCGGACCUACACACCUCACGCUGGAAAAGGAGAUAAAAUAAUAUGAACGGUGUCGGGUGAGAGCAAGACACACCUGCCGCGGACACAGGAGCAGAGACGGUACAGGUGUGCAUGAAGCUGGACACGUAGCCUACAGGGGGACCAAACAGACAGCCAUGGAGAUGAAGACUGACAUGUAUAUGGAGUGAAAAAUAGGAGUGACGAGCGUGCAGGUGUAAGUGGGAAAGUAAACAGAUGUAGGGGGAGAGAAAAGGGUGUAGGAGUAGCAGAUGUGGAGAGGAAGAUGGAUAGGUGGAAACGUGCCAUAGACAGACAGGAGGAAGCCAUAAAGAUGUACAAGAAAUAAGGGUGGAGAGGAGGAUGGACAGGUGUAUGGGGGAUAGGCAGGUGUGGGGAAAGGGAAGGUUAUAGAAAAAAUAAAAUAAAAUAAAAUAUAAUAAUAAUAAUAAUAAUAAUAAUAAUAAUAAUAAUAAUAAUAAUAAUAAUAAUAAUAAUAAUAAUAAUAACGAUGAUAA